Molecule: long non-coding RNA, 468 nt
Organism: Vicia villosa (hairy vetch)
Lineage: Eukaryota; Viridiplantae; Streptophyta; Magnoliopsida; Fabales; Fabaceae
Exons: 2
Source: RefSeq, a predicted model, not a curated record
CGAGUUGAACCUUUUCCCUAUUCUUAAAUACAGGGAAAAAUCAUGUUGCAAUCAAUGCUUGUGCUACUAGUUCACAUUCUCUAUUAAUGUUGCAACGAGAAUGAUUCAAUUCAAGGAUGUAGAUGAUAUGGUGACUGGACAGACUGAGUCAAGCAUUGGUGCAUUAUCAAUUGCAGGAUUCUACAAGUAAAUUAUAGCCAACAUUAUAUGUUUUAUGUUUGGCUUAAACUUUUGAAAGACUAGUGUCUUGCAUUUGCUUGUUGGGGUAGAAGACUUGGCUGUGAACUUGGGAUGGAGUUUUUCUGGUGAGGAGAUGGAGGUAGUUCAAGAUGAAACUUCAACCUCACUCAUUAUCAAAUGAAAGCUGGUCGCAGAUAUGAAUUUUGAUUUUACAUUUGUUGAACUAAUGUAUAAGGCAUUUUUCUUUUCUUUUUUUUAUAUAUUAUGUUCCAUUAUAGUUAGUAUCAA